RNAcentral lists this ribosomal RNA (413 nucleotides) under uncultured bacterium. RNAcentral describes it as "bacterial SSU rRNA". It matches the Rfam family "Bacterial small subunit ribosomal RNA", at positions 29 to 430 of the family's 1533-position model. The record is from RNAcentral.
AACGAACGCUGGCGGCGUGCCUAACACAUGCAAGUCGAGCGCGAAUGGAGCAAUCCUAGUAGAGCGGCGCACGGGUGCGUAACACGUGGGUAAUCUGCCUAGAAGAUGAGGAUAACCAGUCGAAAGACUGGCUAAUACUCGAUAAGCCCACGGGGACUUCGGUCCCUGAGGGAAAAGGUGGCCUCUGUAUACAAGCUAUCACUUCUAGAUGAGCCCGCGGCCCAUCAGCUAGUUGGCGGGGUAAUGGCCCACCAAGGCGACGACGGGUAGCUGGUCUGAGAGGACGAUCAGCCACACUGGAACUGAGACACGGUCCAGACUCCUACGGGAGGCAGCAGUGGGGAAUUUUGCGCAAUGGGCGAAAGCCUGACGCAGCAACGCGCGUGUGUGAUGAAGGUCUUCGGAUUGUAAAG